GCGCACGCUGGCGGCAGGCCUCACACCUGCCAGUCGAACGAACCUUUCGGGGUUAGUGGCGGACGGGUGAGUAACACGUGGGAACGUGCCUUUAGGUUCGGAAUAACUCAGGGAAACUUGUGCUAAUACCGAAUGUGCCCUUCGGGGGAAAGAUUAAUCGCCUUUAGAGCGGCCCGCGUCUGAUUAGCUAGUUGGUUGAGGUAAUGGCUCACCAAGGCGACGAUCAGUAGCUGGUCUGAGAGGAUGAUCAGCCACAUUGGGACUGAGACACGGCCCAAACUCCUACGGGAGGCAGCAGUGGGGAAUCUUGCGCAAUGGGCGAAAGCCUGACGCAGCCAUGCCGCGUGAAUGAUGAAGGUCUUAGGAUUGUAAAAUUCUUUCACCGGGGACGAUAAUGACGGUACCCGGAGAAGAAGCCCCGGCUAACUUCGUG
RNAcentral lists this ribosomal RNA (433 nucleotides) under uncultured bacterium. Its description in RNAcentral is "partial 16S ribosomal RNA". It matches the Rfam family "Bacterial small subunit ribosomal RNA", at positions 29 to 507 of the family's 1533-position model. The record is from RNAcentral.